Sus scrofa (pig) is the source of this 1328-nucleotide non-coding RNA. NCBI's taxonomy places the organism in Eukaryota, Metazoa, Chordata, Mammalia, Artiodactyla, Suidae. The record is from RefSeq and is a predicted model, not a curated record.
GAACGGAUGGAGGAGACCCUCGGAUUGGUCCAACUCGCCGCUAACCUUUAGUGGUUCAUGCUGAUUUUGAGAUUCAAGGUCUGAGAACUCGUUGAUACCUUUGAUGGAUCUGAUUCCUACAGCUUCCCGUCCACCGUUUCUGGGAGGUUGUUGACCUAACGUCAGGAUCUGCCUACUCCAUCUCCUUGGGCAACAGCCAACAGAAUGACUAAAUGACAGCCUAGGUCGUCCUGAUUCCUGCCCUGCCUCUCUGCUGGUGGCCUGCCCAAGAGAACCCUCAGCCGUUCGUCCCUGAGCAUCAGAGCCCUUGUCUCUUCCCCCUUGUCAGGCCGUUGCUGUUGCAAGGUCUGCAGUCACACAUCCAGUCUUACCACCGGGCCUGGAAGCCCCGAGACACGUUCAGUGCGUUCUCUGAGUUCUGCACAUCCUUAUGGUCCCUUUGGGUAAUGUUAUUAAUGAUAAUUAGGGUCAACUACUCGUACAGUUGGGGGGCAAAACAUGCUCCCGCUGCAAGAGAAGGCGCGUAAGGGGAAAUCAAAUAGGCAGGAUUUGGCCAUUGGAAGUUGGCACUGAAAUAAUAAGGACUGGAUCCCGGACUCCGUCUGCUGCAGGCGGAGAGAAACCCUUGGUGAUGUUUGCCAAAUGAACAGAUAAAUAGGCCCCGGCGAUGGCCGACAAGAAGUUUUGGGAACUAUGUCUGUUACCAGGCUUCUCGGUAAUGACCUCAUGUUCGAAAUGAUUUUGUUUCUUAUGAAUACUCCCCAGAAGAUCCCGAGUAAGAACCUGAUUUAAACACAAUGAAUUCCUCACGAUACCAUGGGGAAAAAAAAAAAAAAAAAAAAAAACUCAAGAAGUGACAACAUUGUUGGCUGAGGUGAUCGACCGGCUGUCAGGGGAAAAUAAGGCCAAAACAAACACGGAACUCAGGACACCCUCUGGGUGAGUCCUCGUAGGACCAAGGGAGGCCGUGGAAUCCGGGGCAUGGCUCAGGUGCCAGACUCUUCACAUCCAAGGCUCACCCGCAAUCUCAGCCUUUCAAGUGAUGUAUUUCUCAAUAGGUCCAGCCUGUGCGGGCCUUUCGAUUUUUCAUUUCGAUGUCAGUAUUCUUUCUCGGGAAAAAACCAUCCCUUUUUCUUCACCCUACUUCCGCCUCACCCAUCACAGUUCUACCCGGCAACCAAAUUCCUCAUUAAAUUUCCUUCUUCCAUGAAACAUCCUGCUCUCCCUGCUCCCUUACUGGAAGUGAUCCCCCCUCCUCUUCACUUGGUAAACUUUAUUUUGCGUAUAUUAUGCAAGUUCGUUCGUAGUGUUUUGACUCUGCCCCCACU